GUAGGGAAUAUUGGGCAAUGGAGGCAACUCUGACCCAGCCAUGCCGCGUGCAGGAUGACGGCCCUCUGGGUUGUAAACUGCUUUUAUACGGGAAGAAAAAAUACUACGUGUAGUAUACUGACGGUACCGUAAGAAUAAGGAUCGGCUAACUCCGUGCCAGCAGCCGCGGUAAUACGGAGGAUCCAAGCGUUGUCCGGAUUUAUUGGGUUUAAAGGGUGCGUAGGCGGAUCUUUAAGUCAGUGGUGAAAGCCUGCAGCUUAACUGUACGCAUGCCUUGGAAACUGUGAGGCUUGAGUGACUUGGAGGUAGCUGGAAUUCCCUGUGUAGCGGUGAAAUGCAUAGAUAUGUCAUGGAACACCGAAAGCGAAGGCAGCUAACGAUACUUAUAUUGACGCUCAUGGACGAAAGCGUGGGUAGCGAACAGGAUUAGAUACCCGUGUAGUCC
This 445-nucleotide ribosomal RNA is filed under the name uncultured bacterium. Its description in RNAcentral is "bacterial SSU rRNA". It matches the Rfam family "Bacterial small subunit ribosomal RNA", at positions 354 to 796 of the family's 1533-position model. The record is from RNAcentral.